RNAcentral lists this transfer RNA (69 nucleotides) under Poeciliopsis monacha x P. lucida. Its description in RNAcentral is "tRNA-Phe". It matches the Rfam family "tRNA". Rfam says of the family: Transfer RNA (tRNA) molecules are approximately 80 nucleotides in length. Their secondary structure includes four short double-helical elements and three loops (D, anti-codon, and T loops). The record is from RNAcentral. Lineage: Eukaryota; Metazoa; Chordata; Actinopteri; Cyprinodontiformes; Poeciliidae.
GCUAGUGUAGCUUAACGCAAAGCAUAACACUGAAGAUGUUAAGAUGGACCCUACAAAGUUCCACAGGCA